Molecule: unclassified non-coding RNA, 223 nt
Filed under: Westerdykella dispersa
Lineage: Eukaryota; Fungi; Ascomycota; Dothideomycetes; Pleosporales; Sporormiaceae
Description: partial internal transcribed spacer region
Rfam family: Eukaryotic small subunit ribosomal RNA (bases 1-46)
Source: RNAcentral
AAGUCGUAACAAGGUUUCCGUAGGUGAACCUGCGGAAGGAUCAUUAUCGUGGAGCUUCGGCUCCUUCGAGGGAGAACCCUUGCCUUUUCGAGCACCUGUUUGUUUCCUCGGCAGGCCCGCCUGCCAACGGGGACCAUUUAAACUCUUGCAAUCAACCUGAACAAAAUCGUCUGAACAAAAAAAAACUAAAUCAAAACUUUCAACAACGGAUCUCUUGGUUCUG